Molecule: non-coding RNA, 83 nt
Organism: Potamilus streckersoni
Lineage: Eukaryota; Metazoa; Mollusca; Bivalvia; Unionida; Unionidae
Source: the annotation of a GenBank genome assembly
UCUCUGGUGGCCUAGUGGUUAGAGCGUCCGCCUCAGAUACAGGAGGUCGUAGGUUCAAACCCCGACUAAGUCAUACCAAAGAC